This 284-nucleotide ribosomal RNA is filed under the name Staphylococcus aureus. RNAcentral's name for it is "partial 16S ribosomal RNA". It matches the Rfam family "Bacterial small subunit ribosomal RNA", at positions 942 to 1225 of the family's 1533-position model. Lineage: Bacteria; Bacillati; Bacillota; Bacilli; Caryophanales; Staphylococcaceae. The record is from RNAcentral.
UGGUUUAAUUCGAAGCAACGCGAAGAACCUUACCAAAUCUUGACAUCCUUUGACAACUCUAGAGAUAGAGCCUUCCCCUUCGGGGGACAAAGUGACAGGUGGUGCAUGGUUGUCGUCAGCUCGUGUCGUGAGAUGUUGGGUUAAGUCCCGCAACGAGCGCAACCCUUAAGCUUAGUUGCCAUCAUUAAGUUGGGCACUCUAAGUUGACUGCCGGUGACAAACCGGAGGAAGGUGGGGAUGACGUCAAAUCAUCAUGCCCCUUAUGAUUUGGGCUACACACGUGC